RNAcentral lists this long non-coding RNA (211 nucleotides) under Lathyrus oleraceus (garden pea). Its description in RNAcentral is "Pisum sativum (pea) long non-coding RNA (PSAT_LNC038198)". Lineage: Eukaryota; Viridiplantae; Streptophyta; Magnoliopsida; Fabales; Fabaceae. The record is from RNAcentral.
UUUAGUUAAUUUGACUAUGCAUUCAAAUUUCAAGGGAAAACGUCUUAUAUGAGGUUCAAACACAUGCUCUUAUUCACAAAAUCAUGUAGUGUCGAAGAAAUCAUGAAAAAUAUGAAGUUUAUAGUGGUUGUUCUUCACCAACCAAUAGCACAAUAGUCACAACCCUUUUCAAACCAAAAGAAUAAAUUCCAUAGAAAUUGUUCCAAAAAAU